RNAcentral lists this ribosomal RNA (463 nucleotides) under uncultured bacterium. RNAcentral's name for it is "partial 16S ribosomal RNA". It matches the Rfam family "Bacterial small subunit ribosomal RNA", at positions 28 to 506 of the family's 1533-position model. The record is from RNAcentral.
GACGAACGCUGGCGGCGUGCUUAACACAUGCAAGUCGAACGGAAAGGCCCAGCUUGCUGGGUGCUCGAGUGGCGAACGGGUGAGUAACACGUGGGUGAUCUGCCCCUAACUUCGGGAUAAGCUUGGGAAACUGGGUCUAAUACCGGAUAGGACAAUCGUUUAGUGUCGGUUGUGGAAAGUUUUUUCGGUUAGGGAUGAGCCCGCGGCCUAUCAGCUUGUUGGUGGGGUAAUGGCCUACCAAGGCGUCGACGGGUAGCCGGCCUGAGAGGGUGGACGGCCAAAUUGGGAAGGAGAGAAGGCCCAGACCCCUACGGGAGGGAGCAGGGGGGAAUAUUGCAAAAGGGGCGGGAGCCGGAUGCAGCGAAGCCGGGGGGGGGAGGAGGGCCUUGGGGUGGUAAACCCUUUUCGAAAGGGAGGAAGCUUUGGGGACGGUACCGGUAAAAGAAGCACCGGAUAACUACGU